RNAcentral lists this ribosomal RNA (2770 nucleotides) under Klebsiella pneumoniae. RNAcentral's name for it is "partial 23S ribosomal RNA". It matches the Rfam family "Bacterial large subunit ribosomal RNA". The record is from RNAcentral. Lineage: Bacteria; Pseudomonadati; Pseudomonadota; Gammaproteobacteria; Enterobacterales; Enterobacteriaceae.
GGUUAAGCGACUAAGCGUACACGGUGGAUGCCCUGGCAGUCAGAGGCGAUGAAGGACGCCGGCGAUGUCCGAAUGGGGAAACCCAGUGCAAUUCGUUGCACUAUCGUUAACUGAAUACAUAGGUUAACGAGGCGAACCGGGGGAACUGAAACAUCUAAGUACCCCGAGGAAAAGAAAUCAACCGAGAUUCCCCCAGUAGCGGCGAGCGAACGGGGAGCAGCCCAGAGUCUGAAUCAGCUUGUGUGUUAGUGGAACGGUCUGGAAAGUCCGACGGUACAGGGUGAUAGUCCCGUACACCAAAAUGCACAGGUUGUGAACUCGAAGAGUAGGGCGGGACACGUGGUAUCCUGUCUGAAUAUGGGGGGACCAUCCUCCAAGGCUAAAUACUCCUGACUGACCGAUAGUGAACCAGUACCGUGAGGGAAAGGCGAAAAGAACCCCGGCGAGGGGAGUGAAAAAGAACCUGAAACCGUGUACGUACAAGCAGUGGGAGCACCUUCGGGUGUGACUGCGUACCUUUUGUAUAAUGGGUCAGCGACUUAUAUUCUGUAGCAAGGUUAACCGUAUAGGGGAGCCGCAGGGAAACCGAGUCUUAACUGGGCGUUAAGUUGCAGGGUAUAGACCCGAAACCCGGUGAUCUAGCCAUGGGCAGGUUGAAGGUUGGGUAACACUAACUGGAGGACCGAACCGACUAAUGUUGAAAAAUUAGCGGAUGACUUGUGGCUGGGGGUGAAAGGCCAAUCAAACCGGGAGAUAGCUGGUUCUCCCCGAAAGCUAUUUAGGUAGCGCCUCGUGAAUUCAUCUUCGGGGGUAGAGCACUGUUUCGGCUAGGGGGUCAUCCCGACUUACCAACCCGAUGCAAACUACGAAUACCGAAGAAUGUUAUCACGGGAGACACACGGCGGGUGCUAACGUCCGUCGUGAAGAGGGAAACAACCCAGACCGCCAGCUAAGGUCCCAAAGUCAUGGUUAAGUGGGAAACGAUGUGGGAAGGCACAGACAGCCAGGAUGUUGGCUUAGAAGCAGCCAUCAUUUAAAGAAAGCGUAAUAGCUCACUGGUCGAGUCGGCCUGCGCGGAAGAUGUAACGGGGCUAAACCAUGCACCGAAGCUGCGGCAGCGACACUAUGUGUUGUUGGGUAGGGGAGCGUUCUGUAAGCCUGCGAAGGUGACCUGUGAGGGUUGCUGGAGGUAUCAGAAGUGCGAAUGCUGACAUAAGUAACGAUAAAGCGGGUGAAAAGCCCGCUCGCCGGAAGACCAAGGGUUCCUGUCCAACGUUAAUCGGGGCAGGGUGAGUCGACCCCUAAGGCGAGGCCGAAAGGCGUAGUCGAUGGGAAACAGGUUAAUAUUCCUGUACUUGGUGUUACUGCGAAGGGGGGACGGAGAAGGCUAUGUUAGCCGGGCGACGGUUGUCCCGGUUUAAGCAUGUAGGCUGGUUAUCCAGGCAAAUCCGGAUAAUCAAGGCUGAGGUGUGAUGACGAGGCACUACGGUGCUGAAGUAACAAAUGCCCUGCUUCCAGGAAAAGCCUCUAAGCAUCAGGUAACAUCAAAUCGUACCCCAAACCGACACAGGUGGUCAGGUAGAGAAUACCAAGGCGCUUGAGAGAACUCGGGUGAAGGAACUAGGCAAAAUGGUGCCGUAACUUCGGGAGAAGGCACGCUGGUGUGUAGGUGAAGCCCCUGCGGGUGGAGCUGAGACCAGUCGAAGAUACCAGCUGGCUGCAACUGUUUAUUAAAAACACAGCACUGUGCAAACACGAAAGUGGACGUAUACGGUGUGACGCCUGCCCGGUGCCGGAAGGUUAAUUGAUGGGGUUAUCCGUAAGGAGAAGCUCUUGAUCGAAGCCCCGGUAAACGGCGGCCGUAACUAUAACGGUCCUAAGGUAGCGAAAUUCCUUGUCGGGUAAGUUCCGACCUGCACGAAUGGCGUAAUGAUGGCCAGGCUGUCUCCACCCGAGACUCAGUGAAAUUGAACUCGCUGUGAAGAUGCAGUGUACCCGCGGCAAGACGGAAAGACCCCGUGAACCUUUACUAUAGCUUGACACUGAACAUUGAGCCUUGAUGUGUAGGAUAGGUGGGAGGCUUUGAAGCGUGGACGCCAGUCUGCGUGGAGCCAACCUUGAAAUACCACCCUUUAAUGUUUGAUGUUCUAACGUUGGCCCCUGACCGGGGUUGCGGACAGUGUCUGGUGGGUAGUUUGACUGGGGCGGUCUCCUCCCAAAGCGUAACGGAGGAGCACGAAGGUUAGCUAAUCCUGGUCGGACAUCAGGAGGUUAGUGCAAUGGCAUAAGCUAGCUUGACUGCGAGCGUGACGGCGCGAGCAGGUGCGAAAGCAGGUCAUAGUGAUCCGGUGGUUCUGAAUGGAAGGGCCAUCGCUCAACGGAUAAAAGGUACUCCGGGGAUAACAGGCUGAUACCGCCCAAGAGUUCAUAUCGACGGCGGUGUUUGGCACCUCGAUGUCGGCUCAUCACAUCCUGGGGCUGAAGUAGGUCCCAAGGGUAUGGCUGUUCGCCAUUUAAAGUGGUACGCGAGCUGGGUUUAGAACGUCGUGAGACAGUUCGGUCCCUAUCUGCCGUGGGCGCUGGAGAAUUGAGGGGGGCUGCUCCUAGUACGAGAGGACCGGAGUGGACGCAUCACUGGUGUUCGGGUUGUCAUGCCAAUGGCACUGCCCGGUAGCUAAAUGCGGAAGAGAUAAGUGCUGAAAGCAUCUAAGCACGAAACUUGCCCCGAGAUGAGUUCUCCCUGAGACUUUAAGUCUCCUGAAGGAACGUU